AUUGAACGCUGGCGGCAUGCCUUACACAUGCAAGUCGAACGGCAGCACGGGUGCUUGCACCUGGUGGCGAGUGGCGAACGGGUGAGUAAUACAUCGGAACAUGUCCUGUAGUGGGGGAUAGCCCGGCGAAAGCCGGAUUAAUACCGCAUACGAUCUACGGAUGAAAGCGGGGGACCUUCGGGCCUCGCGCUAUCGGGUUGGCCGAUGGCUGAUUAGCUAGUUGGUGGGGUAAAGGCCUACCAAGGCGACAAUCAGUAGCUGGUCUGAGAGGACGACCAGCCACACUGGGACUGAGACACGGCCCAGACUCCUACGGGAGGCAGCAGUGGGGAAUUUUGGACAAUGGGCGAAAGCCUGAUCCAGCAAUGCCGCGUGUGUGAAGAAGGCCUUCGGGUUGUAAAGCACUUUUGUCCGGAAAGAAAUCCUUGGCCCUAAUACGGUCGGGGGAUGACGGUACCGGAAGAAUAAGCACCGGCUAACUACGUG
This 486-nucleotide ribosomal RNA is filed under the name uncultured bacterium. Its description in RNAcentral is "partial 16S ribosomal RNA". It matches the Rfam family "Bacterial small subunit ribosomal RNA", at positions 30 to 507 of the family's 1533-position model. The record is from RNAcentral.